GCAAAAUAUUUGUUCAAACAUUAAAAACUCAAGUAUUUUACUACACAAUUAUUUACAAAUUGAUGUGAUCAUCUACGUUAACAUAUCUCGUCACCGAAGAAAUAAUAUACAGAAAAUAAUGAAUAAUAGACAAUACAAAUAGCGAAUUGAGAUGGUUUUUGUAAAAUUUGAUGUAAAAAAUAAAGACGGACCCCACUCAGACCCCACACAAAAGACAAAAAUUUAAUACCUUCAACUAUGAGCAAACACAUACCGUCGAGUAAACCCAAGUUUGAGAAGAUGAGAAACUGAAUACGCUAAAUAAAACUAUCCAUGGAUUAAAAAUUAAGAUGAUUUUAUGUCAUUAUUAUUCACCUUUGUCCUUAAAAGGACAUGAUAUCCAAUAUCGACAUCAACAGCAGAGAAUUCAACUAAGGCAAACGCACAGAACUUGCAGUAAGGUGUGUUAUUUUUUGUCAUUUUGACCAUGCGAUGAAGAACAGCAAUAAAAAAAAUCACGGAAAUAAAACUUUAUUACAGAAAGAUCCAGCA
RNAcentral lists this long non-coding RNA (531 nucleotides) under Mytilus galloprovincialis (Mediterranean mussel). The record is from RNAcentral. Lineage: Eukaryota; Metazoa; Mollusca; Bivalvia; Mytilida; Mytilidae.